UGGGGAAUUUUGGACAAUGGGCGAAANCCUGAUCCAGCAAUGCCGCGUGUGUGAAGAAGGCCUUCGGGUUGUAAAGCACUUUUGUCCGGAAAGAAAUCCUUGGCUCUAAUACAGUCGGGGGAUGACGGUACCGGAAGAAUAAGCACCGGCUAACUACGUGCCAGCAGCCGCGGUAAUACGUAGGGUGCAAGCGUUAAUCGGAAUUACUGGGCGUAAAGCGUGCGCAGGCGGUUUGCUAAGACCGAUGUGAAAUCCCCGGGCUCAACCUGGGAACUGCAUUGGUGACUGGCAGGCUAGAGUAUGGCAGAGGGGGGUAGAAUUCCACGUGUAGCAGUGAAAUGCGUAGAGAUGUGGAGGAAUACCGAUGGCGAAGGCAGCCCCCUGGGCCAAUACUGACGCUCAUGCACGAAAAGCGUGGGGAGCAAACAGGAUUAGAUACCCUGGUAGUCCACGCCCUAAACGAUGUCAACUAGUUGUUGGGGAUUCAUUUCCUAGUAACGUAGCUAACGCGUGAAGUUGACCGCCUGGGGAGUACGGUCGCAAGAUUAAAACUUAAAUGAAUUGACGGGGUCAUAGCUGUUUCCU
Molecule: ribosomal RNA, 585 nt
Filed under: uncultured bacterium
Lineage: Bacteria
Description: partial 16S ribosomal RNA
Rfam family: Bacterial small subunit ribosomal RNA
Source: RNAcentral